Long non-coding RNA from Oncorhynchus masou masou (cherry salmon), 1061 nucleotides. RefSeq lists it as uncharacterized. The record is from RefSeq and is a predicted model, not a curated record. The transcript has 3 exons. Lineage: Eukaryota; Metazoa; Chordata; Actinopteri; Salmoniformes; Salmonidae.
UUUUUGAGAGUCACCCGGAAGAUAACUGUGGACUAAUUUGUCAUUUAGGGUAGGACAUCUCUUAAAGCUUAUGACUGGUGGCUCUGGGAAGACUUGGCGUAGUAGUCUAUCACUUUGGAUGAUUCCCCAAUUAUUUUGACUGAUUAUUUUAAUGCUCUGCUUCAGUGCUGUAUUUUGUAACAAAAUACACUCUCUCCGAUGUAUCACGGGCACUCCCCUUCGCAACAAGUUCUCUCUGUCAAGUAAUCCAGCCCUUAUACCUGCAUCUUUCAGGACCUUCAUGCUGUAGCCCUGAACGCUGUUUCUUUCAACUUUACAAGCAGUGACGAUGAGGAUCACCCCAGACGCUCAGAGGCCAGCUCCUCCCAAGAAGGGAUCAGGAAGAGGAGUCACGCAGGUUCCACAACAACAGGAGAGGACGCGGAAGAGGCCAACACAGAGGGGGAGGAAGAAAUCAAGACUAUCUAACCACACGGAGCAGGACCAGAACAAGGCUGUGAUCAACAUUUCUGGAGAACCCCUUUCUGAUGAUUACAUAAGGGAAUCUACAUCUGAAGGCCUGGUACAAACAAAACAUCUCUCCAACUACAGACGCCAGUAUCUCAGGGUCGUGAUGGGUCCAUUUGCUGUCAUCUAGUGGACAUUUUGCUCAAUUGCCCUCAGCUAUGGUUAGACUGUUGUUUUUCAUGUUUUGCUGUGUUCUAGUGUAUUAUGGAAUAUAUAGCUUUCUUAUUCUUGACACUUCUCCCAGUCAUAUUUAAGGUUAGAACUACCUUUUAGUGUUCUGAUACUUCUAGCUUGGAGUUGUAUUUUUAUGAUAACAUAGCUACAGUAUUUCACCUUUUAAUGUGUAUAGUAUUGCUUACUAGGUGUGUCCAAUCAAUUGUGUAACCACUCCCUCUUCCAAUUAGGGCUAAUAGAAAAGCUGUUCAAAAGAGGACAUUGUAUUCCUUUUUUUUGUACUCUCUGACGAAGGCCAUGCAGCCGAAACACGUUGGUUUAAAACAAAAACUUUGUUUCUAUUGAACAUGCCAUACUAAUAAAGGCAUUUUAAUCAAUUA